RNAcentral lists this ribosomal RNA (872 nucleotides) under Salmonella enterica subsp. enterica serovar Saintpaul. RNAcentral describes it as "partial 23S ribosomal RNA". It matches the Rfam family "Bacterial large subunit ribosomal RNA", at positions 354 to 1241 of the family's 2925-position model. The record is from RNAcentral. Lineage: Bacteria; Pseudomonadati; Pseudomonadota; Gammaproteobacteria; Enterobacterales; Enterobacteriaceae.
UCGUAGAAGGUGAUAAUCCUGUACAGGUAAACUCAUUAGAAUGUAUGUUCUCUCCCAAGUAACAUGGAACACGAGGAAUUCUGUGUGAAUCUGCGAGGACCAUAUCUCGUAAGGCUAAAUACUCUUACUAACCGAUAGCGUAUAGUACCGUGAGGGAAAGGUGAAAAGAACCCCGGGAGGGGAGUGAAAUAGAACCUGAAACUGUGUGCUUACAAGCGGUCAGAGCUCUUCGGAGUGAUGGCGUGCCUUUUGGAGAAUGAUCCUGCGAGUUACGUUCAGUGGCGAGGUUAAGUAUAACGGAGCCGAAGGGAAACCGAGUCUGAAUAGGGCGACAUAGUCGCUGGGCGUAGACGCGAAACCUGGUGAUCUAAGCCUGUCCAGGGUGAAGCUGUGGUAAGACACAGUGGAGGCCCGAACUCACCGCCGUUGAAAAGUUGGGAGAUGAGGUAGGUUUAGGGGUGAAAAGCCAAUCGAACUAGGAGAUAGCUCGUUCUCUCCGAAAUGCAUUUAGGUGCAGCCUUGAGUGUUUAAUUAUGGGGGUAGAGCACUGAAUGAACUAGGGGGCAUAUUGCUUACUGAAUUCAAUCAAACUCCGAAUACCAUAAUUCAAAGCUCAGGAGUGAGACUAUGGGAAUUAACUUCCAUUGUCAAAAGGGAAACAACCCAGACCACCAGCUAAGGUCCCUAAUUAUAACUAAGUGGGAAAGGAGGUGGAGAUUCACAAACAACCAGGAGGUUGGCUUAGAAGCAGCCAUACCUUUAAAGAGUGCGUAAUAGCUCACUGGUCGAGAGUCUCUGCGCCGACAAUGUAACGGGGCUAAGUUAUAAACCGAAGCUGUGGAAUUGCGCAAGCAAUUGGUAGGAGAGCGUUC